Molecule: long non-coding RNA, 1050 nt
Organism: Clarias gariepinus (North African catfish)
Lineage: Eukaryota; Metazoa; Chordata; Actinopteri; Siluriformes; Clariidae
Exons: 3
Source: RefSeq, a predicted model, not a curated record
GCUUGAGGGAGUUCCUCCGAUUCUUCUGAUGCAAGACCGUCACCUGACUCUUUAGAUCACCCGACUCCAUUUCUAGAAAGUUCGAGAACCGACAUAUUGACUUGAGACGUUUCGCUCAUUUUGCUGUCACUCAUUUCAAGAACAUGAUGUUUUCCGGGCUGCUGACAAACGCACUAAAGAGAAAUUCAGCCAUAUGUAGGAAAAUGCACUUAAAAGAAAAGAAACACAAGAAACCGAUGCCCCAGGAAAGAGGGAAUAAAUCACCACUGGAGGGAGUGAAAGAGGACGAAGACAUGUUUAGGCACAGAAUUGAAAGUCUCCCCGGGAACCGUCCUAAUAUGAAACAGGAAUCUGAGGUUCUGGUGACUUGAAGGAUCCAGAGACUUCGACACACCAGGACAUUAUAGUGGGAACAACAGGGAAAACAAUCCAUAUGUUUUUGACAUUAUUUUCAAUACCGUUUAUCCUGUGCAGCAUCGUUUGAAGCAUGGAGCGUACCCCGUCAACUUCUGCACAAGGUGGGGUACGCCCUGGACAUGGUGCCGAUCCAUUGCAGGUCACACCUGCGCACACACUCAAAUAUUCACACACUACAGGGAAAAUGAGGAAUGCCAAAUAGCCUAAUCUGCAUUUUUUUUUUGGACUGUGGGAGGAAACCGAAGCACUCAGAGGAAACCCACCAAGCACUGGUAAAUAAGAUGUGAACCAAACCCUUGAACCUGGAGGUGCAAGGCCACAAUGAUAACCAUCCUGUCACCUUUGGCUAGUGUUGUUUUGCAUUAAGUAAAUAUGCACAUUACUGUUGUUUUUUUAAAUGACUGUUCAAUAAUGCACUAGUAAUGUUUUUGCUUACCGUUUAAAUUGUGUUUCUAAAUUUGUAAUACUGUACAAUCUAUUUGUAUAAGCUGCUGGGGGGGUUGUUAAACUUAUUUUUAAAUGUUUUAGAAAAUGUUUGUGUUGAUGCUUUUAUACAUUUCACUUUAAACUUGAGAUACAGUUAUGUAUCUUAAGUUUUAUUUUAUGUUGAUUUAUAAAAUAAUUUGUCUUGUC